AAUUUAUAAACAAUGACCUAUGUUUUCAUAUCAAAACAGACAACGAUUGUAAAAUACUUUAAUUGAUAUAAUGAUUUAUCUAUACCUGCAAAAUGCACACAUGUUAUUUUUUUCUUAAUCCCCAUAAUAUUUUGUUUUAGGGAUAGUAAUAAUUCUCUACCAUUGAUAUUAAAGCAUUGUUUUGAAGAUAUAAAAAAGGAUGCUGGAAGUGAGAGUAAUAAUAUAUCGACUAUUUGCAAAAAAUGCUCUAAAAUAUUAAUAGGAAGUCUAAUUUCAACUACAAAUUUUUUAAAUCAUAUAAAAAGAAAAGGUCAUGGUGAUCUAUUGACAGAGUAUGAAAAUUUUAAAUCCCAAACCAAAUCCUCCAAAAAGAAAAAAUGUGGCACACACACUGAUGAAAUUAUGAUUAUGUGUGUAUGACAGCAGAUGUUUGGUCAUCAUCAAAGAGAAGUUACCUAGGUGGAUUGGUCGGGAGGUUCAUUUGCAUGGCUACCACGUUCCCUUGAAUUGAAUACAAUAGAUUAAUGUUUUUAGGGGAUAUCUUAAAAGAUGUGCCUCAACGUUUAACAUGACAUGUGACGAAUGAAGAAGCCGCUAGAAUCAUCGCGCUCAUACAAGAUGGCCGCAGUCAAAGAUACGUCGCCGGGGAAACUGGAGUUCAACACAGCACCAUAUCCAGAGUUGUUAUUCGCUACCAAGAAACAGGGCAGCUAACCAGAAGACCCCGACAAGGCCGAGUAAGGGUAACUUCGGUAGUAGAUGAUCGUUAUUUGAGGUUAACGGGGUUAAGAAUUGGGCAUACCAACGCUCAAAGGCUGCAAACAGAUCUGUUGGCUGCUCGUAAUGUUCGAAUAAGCCUACAAACAGUUCGAAAUAGGCUGAGAGAAGCAGGUAUACGAGCCAGAGUGCCCGCUAGAAGUCCACGUCUUACCAGAGAACAUCGAGUAGCAAGAUUGGAAUUUGCUCGAGAACACGCAAAUUGGAAUAUUCAAGAUUGGUCUAAUAUUUUAUUCACGAAUGAAUCAAUAUUUUGUCUGUAUUCAUCAUAUAGGCGUGUACCAGUAUAUAGGCGACGUGGUGAACGGCACGAUCAGGUUAAUUUUUGUCAAACUGAAAGCUUUGGUGGUGGCUUUAUCAUGGUUUAGGGAGGAAUUUCUUUCGAGGGUCUCACGGAGUUAGUACCAGUGAAUGAUGGAAGACUAAAUGCUGACAGGUAAAUAAGCAAUAUCCUAGAACCCCAUGUAGUGCCCUAUAUGCCUCAUAUCGGUAACAACCCUGUGCUAAUGCAUGAAUUCAGAAACAUCCGGCACCAAUAAGAACACUAGAUGAUCUUCAAAAUGUUCUUUUUAACUUCUGGGAAAACAUGCCGCAAGGAUACGUCCAGAACCUGUUUAGAAGCCUUCUAAGACGAAUGGAAGCUGUAUUAGAAAUUCAUUAGCUGGUUUUAGUUUAAGCACUGUUCAUUUUUUUGUAUAAUAGUUUCUAUGUUUUGGUAAAUCUAACUUUUUGCUCUCUGUAGAUUAAACUGAUAUAAAAUAAAUGUUGCAAAAGGCGUA
Diorhabda sublineata is the source of this 1556-nucleotide long non-coding RNA. RefSeq lists it as uncharacterized. The transcript has 4 exons. Lineage: Eukaryota; Metazoa; Arthropoda; Insecta; Coleoptera; Chrysomelidae. The record is from RefSeq and is a predicted model, not a curated record.